GGAGGGUCAAGCCGACGGAUGGCGACGGCACUCGGUUGCUAGCUGAGCGAGGCCGAAAGGCCCUUGAGGGUUCGAUCCCCUCACCCUCCG
Molecule: transfer RNA, 90 nt
Filed under: Myxococcales bacterium
Lineage: Bacteria; Pseudomonadati; Myxococcota; Myxococcia; Myxococcales
Description: tRNA-Ser
Source: RNAcentral